GUGCCAGCAGCCGCGGUAAGACAGAGGGGGCAAGCGUUGCUCGGAAUCACUGGGCGUAAAGGGCGCGUAGGCGGGAUGGCAAGUCGGUCGUGAAAUCCCUGGGCUCAACUCAGGGGGGUCGGCCGAUACUGCCGUUCUUGAGGGAUGCAGAGGAGACUGGAAUUCCCGGUGUAGCGGUGAAAUGUGUAGAGAUCGGGAGGAACACCGGUGGCGAAGGCGGGUCUCUGGGCAUUCCCUGACGCUGAGGCGCGAAAGCGUGGGGAGCAAACGGGAUUAGAAACCCUCGUAGUCC
Molecule: ribosomal RNA, 292 nt
Filed under: uncultured bacterium
Lineage: Bacteria
Description: partial 16S ribosomal RNA
Rfam family: Bacterial small subunit ribosomal RNA
Source: RNAcentral